GCGGGCGUAGUUCAAUGGUAGAAUUCCAGCCUUCCAAGCUGGCCGUGUGGGUUCGAUUCCCAUCGCCCGCU
This 71-nucleotide transfer RNA is filed under the name Planctomyces sp. Its description in RNAcentral is "tRNA-Gly". It matches the Rfam family "tRNA". From Rfam's summary of the family: Transfer RNA (tRNA) molecules are approximately 80 nucleotides in length. Their secondary structure includes four short double-helical elements and three loops (D, anti-codon, and T loops). Further hydrogen bonds mediate the characteristic L-shaped molecular structure. tRNAs have two regions of fundamental functional importance: the anti-codon, which is responsible for specific mRNA codon recognition, and the 3' end, to which the tRNAs corresponding amino acid is attached (by aminoacyl-tRNA synthetases). tRNAs cope with the degeneracy of the genetic code in two manners: having more than one tRNA (with a specific anti-codon) for a particular amino acid; and 'wobble' base-pairing, i.e. permitting non-standard base-pairing at the 3rd anti-codon position. The record is from RNAcentral. Lineage: Bacteria; Pseudomonadati; Planctomycetota; Planctomycetia; Planctomycetales; Planctomycetaceae. RNAcentral also lists the same sequence under 1 other name.